This 2576-nucleotide long non-coding RNA is filed under the name Homo sapiens (human). Its description in RNAcentral is "HSALNT0010036". Lineage: Eukaryota; Metazoa; Chordata; Mammalia; Primates; Hominidae. The record is from RNAcentral.
AAAGUUAAUGUAUAAACACAUUUACAAAGCUUUAUGCAACUCCAAGAUAAAGUUAUUAUAUUAAACAUUAUAUUUAAAGAUGUAAGGUUUAUGGCAAGUUUAAGUCCCAUGAUUGAUGACAGAAACUGAAUCAGAGGCCUUAGAGAAAUAGAAUUUAAGACACACCUAUUCCUACCAAACCUUAUUUAAAUAAAGAAAACGGUACAGUAACAACCCAAGAAAUCAAUUUCCUUUCCAGGUUUCAUAAUUAAUCUUCAUUUGUAAAUCCUGUUUGUCCUCAGAUUUUCUCUUUACAGUUCCUAAAAACAUUCAAUUCACCAAAAAUGAAAAAUUAAUUUAGGAAGAAACUCUAACUUAAGAAAAAACUUGCAGCUCAAACAACAGGUGAAAGCACACAAAUAUAGAAACUGUUUUUGAAGAAGUUGGGGAUGUUAACCUUUUAGUUCAAGAUGGGGGGUUGUUCCAGAGUGAAGGAAGGUGAGAUGCCUCCCGUUCUCAUGAGCUAAUGAUUGUUUCCAAACUGGUUAGAAUUCAGUGCUAAUUGCAUUUUAAAACACCACCUCUGAAAUCCUUUUCUCUCUCAGGAUCUUGCAUCAAUGUUUCACAUUUUCAAUGCAACCUUUGCACUUCACCUUUCUCACUCAACAAAUUCUGAAUGUCAGAUCUACGGGAAGAACUCAGUUCAGAUCCUUCCUCUCCCCAGCAGGUUUUGAUCUGGUGAUGGUGAUGUCAAUUCCUAGGAAAGGCUGUCCUGCCCUGGUUCUGAGGGGAGAGAGACAAUUAAAAUCGGUACUUUGGUGACUCUACUCAGGCUUGUCCAUUCUAACAGGGAGUCAUUAAACAACUUUCCAGUGUCAUUCAAAGAACUUAUAACAGAAUCAAUUGAUUUUCAUCCUCUGCUUUAUUAGUUGUGAUUUAGGAAAUAGAAUGGCCCUGUUUACACAGCUGUAACAUGUCAGGGCCUGUAGUACAUUAUUGGCUUGAGGUAAGUUGCAAGUUCACCUUCCAAAAAUCAGCCCUGACUUGUCAUUGCUCUCAGCAUGUUCACGAUGGGAGCAGAGGGCUACAAAUGCCUCUUUAACUAGGUACCCAGCAUCGGCGAAUGUGCUACACUUUGCUGCUAGUCAGAUCUCAGACUCUGCAAGUGGGAGUAGCUGGCUGUUUAACAUGCGUUCAGAGCACUGCCAAUCUAAAAUGGCUGCUCAGUAAUACUUUAAUUGCAGUUUCAUGGAAACAAAUUGCUAUUUAACUGCAAUAAGCACUUCUGUGACUUGGCUGCACUAACAAUAGGUGAGUCUUAGUAACAAAGCUAUAAGUAACAUUAACUUGUAAAUGGCCUUUUUCCAAUGGCCUCUUGAAGGGGUCAUAGGUGGGACAGCACCCAGGAUAGAAUUCCCUGGUGAAGGGUGAAGGGGUCUUUGGGGUGAAGGGUGAUGGGGUUUUUGGAUCUCCUCAAUUUAAAUACAAUUAGUUAGGCUACAUGGGAACUCUUCACUAGACUCCAUAUGUAGCUCUUGGGUUCACUGUUUAUUAUAUGAUUUAUGGGCCCUAAGAAAUAUUUUAUAUAAAUAGUAGUGCACAUUAGAAUCUUACUAUAUUGACAUUUAAAGCCCUUUAAGAGCUUCCUUUUAGAUGAUUAGUUGUUUCAAAUAUCAGUGUUAAUAAGGGCAAAAGAAAGAAUUUAAAUACAGGUAAUAUUAAGAGGAUGACAAUUUCACAGACUUCAUUUUGGUGUGUCAGUUUUCUCGUUUUGUAUUUUAUAAGACACUACAGUCCGGGUUAAACUAUUUCCUAAUAAAUCAUGAAGAGCUGAAAAUAGUUUCUAGUGGCAAACGAUUUGGUUUGGAAAAGCUUCAGGCUCCCCUGCCUUGCGGGAUGUGUAAAUCUAAUUAGACAGUUAGAUAGGUAAAAAACAUUAAACCCUUUUAGAGGACUAUCUUUUUACAAAAUUGUUUCAUUAACAAGAGUGACAAUUUGCAUGAUUGAGACAUUUAUAUGUACCAUAAACAUAAUUUUUUUUAUCAGGAGUUCAGCAGGGCUCAGUAACAUUUGCUUUUAUUUUUAAUUGCACUUGCUUGUAGGGACUGGGGGCCAUCUUGCUCUAUGACGUGGUUAAUAUUAAAUAAGUCCUUUCUAAAGAACAGUGUCCAUCUUGCUAACUAAUAACAUCACAAAUGCAAUGGAUGAAAGGUGGAAUAAACUCAUAGAUUUUUUUUUUUCCUAAGCAAUGUUGAGAUUGGGGGAGGAACUGCACACAAUCGCUGCUCACAUCAGAAUAAACCUGAGUGUUUUUAGUAGCUUUCUAUCCACACAGAGCAUCCCCAUUAGAGCCGGGUUUUAUUGUUUGAAAUGCCUCUGGUUUCAAGAAAGUGUUUUACCUAAACUCAUUAUUAAAUACGCAGCAGUGCUUGAGGAACCAGCCAUAUAAUAGUUUAUUUAAAGUCCGUAAUGACCUUAGCCCUCCACAUCAUUAAAUGCGACAAUAUAUUAUUUACUAAAGUUAUUAACCACCUCCUUUGAAUUUGUACAUAUCAGGGACAAAAGACUUACUGUGAUAUAGAAGUGUAACGAAAUGC